Molecule: ribosomal RNA, 429 nt
Filed under: Gemmatimonadota bacterium
Lineage: Bacteria; Pseudomonadati; Gemmatimonadota
Description: Gemmatimonadetes bacterium partial 16S ribosomal RNA
Rfam family: Bacterial small subunit ribosomal RNA
Source: RNAcentral
UAGGGAAUCUUCGGCAAUGGACGAAAGUCUGACCGAGCAACGCCGCGUGAGUGAAGAAGGUUUUCGGAUCGUAAAACUCUGUUGUUAGAGAAGAACAAGGACGUUAGUAACUGAACGUCCCCUGACGGUAUCUAACCAGAAAGCCACGGCUAACUACGUGCCAGCAGCCGCGGUAAUACGUAGGUGGCAAGCGUUGUCCGGAUUUAUUGGGCGUAAAGCGAGCGCAGGCGGUUUCUUAAGUCUGAUGUGAAAGCGCCCGGCUCAACCGGGGAGGGUCAUUGGAAGCUGGGAGGCUUGAGUGCAGAAGAGGAGAGUGGAAUUCCGUGUGUAGCGGUGAAAUGCAUAGAUAUAUGGAGGAACACCAGUGGCGAAGGCGGCUCUCUGGUCUGUAACUGACGCUGAGGCUCGAAAGCGUGGGGAGCAAACAGG